Molecule: long non-coding RNA, 542 nt
Organism: Raphanus sativus (radish)
Lineage: Eukaryota; Viridiplantae; Streptophyta; Magnoliopsida; Brassicales; Brassicaceae
Exons: 4
Source: RefSeq, a predicted model, not a curated record
GAGAAAAGGAGAGGCAAGGGAGGAGGACCGCCGGCAACGGCAGAACGCCGCUACUGGAGGAAAGGCUGGAAAAGACGAUUAGGGUUUUUUUUUUUUGAGAGAGUUUCGUAUCUAGAUCAGUUGAAGAUAAGUUGGAAUCCACUGUAUUCGUCUGUGUCUGCAAUUAGAGGCGUAACUUUUGGUUCCAGCACAAUCGUCGCAAUUCGCCGCCAUUAGAGAGACUGAGGUGCAGUCGGUGUGACGAUUCCAUUUGUUGGUUUUGAUCAGGUUCUUUCACCUUCUUUCGAUCAAUCGGAAUGAGGUUAGCUUAGCUCCUCUUCAAACCAUCGUUGUCGAUUUUCAUGGCCAAAUAAGAGGAGAUCGAGAAGAACAAGUGGGAGGUUUGGAGAAGGAUUUAAGCUCAGCUUUGUUGUGUCGAAGAAGAGACCGGGCGAUUGGAUCUUCACACUAUGUUUCUUUGUUGAGGAAAGAAGUCGAAAAAGAUUUAACAGCUCCCGUUGGGAAAAAAACACCUCCUGGAAGACAAAAGAAGAGACACAAAA